Molecule: ribosomal RNA, 530 nt
Filed under: Uroobovella fimicola
Lineage: Eukaryota; Metazoa; Arthropoda; Arachnida; Mesostigmata; Urodinychidae
Description: SSU rRNA
Rfam family: Eukaryotic small subunit ribosomal RNA
Source: RNAcentral
UUUGUACUGCGGCGCUAGAGGUGAAAUUCUUGGACCGUCGCAAGACAAACUAUAGCGAAAGCAUUUGCCAAGAAUGUUUUCAUUGAUCAAGAACGAAAGUUAGAGGUUCGAAAGCGAUCAGAUACCGCUUUAGUUCUGACUAUAAACGAUGCCAACUAGCAAUCCGUCGUUGUUAUUUUUUCGACUCGACGGGCAGCUCCGGAAAACCUAAGUAUGGUUUCGGGGGAAGUAUGGUUGCAAGGCUGAAACUUAAAGGAAUUGACGGAAGGGAACCACAAGACGUGGGGCCUGCGGUUCAAUUAGACUCAACACUGGAAAAACUUACCAGGUCAGGACACCGAAAGGAUUGACAGAUUGAGAGCUCUUUCUUGAUAUGGUGGAUGGUGGUGCAUGGCCGCUCUUAGUUGGUGGAUUGGUCUGUCUGCUUAAUUGCGAUAACGGACGUGACUCUGGCCUAUUAAAUAGAAACAAUAUUGUAAGCCCAUGGUUGUUGUAAGGCUUCUUAAAGGGAUUAAUUGCGUUUAGCAAUA